RNAcentral lists this ribosomal RNA (397 nucleotides) under uncultured bacterium. RNAcentral describes it as "partial 16S ribosomal RNA". It matches the Rfam family "Bacterial small subunit ribosomal RNA", at positions 523 to 918 of the family's 1533-position model. The record is from RNAcentral.
AUACGUAGGGGGCGAGCGUUGUCCGGAAUGAUUGGGCGUAAAGGGCGCGUAGGCGGCCUGUUAAGUCUGGAGUGAAAGUCCUGUUUUCAAGAUGGGAAUUGCUUUGGAUACUGAUGGGCUUGAGUGCAGGAGAGGUUAUCGGAAUUACCGGUGUAGCGGUGAAAUGCGUAGAGAUCGGGAGGAACACCAGUGGCGAAGGCGGGUAACUGGACUGCAACUGACGCUGAGGCGCGAAAGUGUGGGGAGCAAACAGGAUUAGAUACCCUGGUAGUCCACACUGUAAACGAUGAAUGCUAGGUGUAAGAGGUAUCGACCCCUUUUGUGCCGGAGUUAACACAAUAAGCAUUCCGCCUGGGGAGUACGGCCGCAAGGUUGAAACUCAAAGGAAUUGACGGGG